RNAcentral lists this ribosomal RNA (243 nucleotides) under uncultured bacterium. RNAcentral describes it as "partial 16S ribosomal RNA". It matches the Rfam family "Bacterial small subunit ribosomal RNA", at positions 524 to 765 of the family's 1533-position model. The record is from RNAcentral.
UACGGGGGGGGCAAGCGUUGUUCGGAAUUACUGGGCGUAAAGGGCGCGUAGGCGGCCUUCUAAGUCGGACGUGAAAUCCCUCGGCUUAACCGAGGAACUGCGUCCGAUACUGAAAGGCUUGAAUCCGGGAGAGGGAUGUGGAAUUCCAGGUGUAGCGGUGAAAUGCGUAGAUAUCUGGAGGAACACCGGUGGCGAAGGCGGCUCACUGGACCGUUGUUGACGCUGAGGUGCGGAAAGCGUGGG